RNAcentral lists this ribosomal RNA (275 nucleotides) under uncultured prokaryote. RNAcentral describes it as "partial 16S ribosomal RNA". It matches the Rfam family "Bacterial small subunit ribosomal RNA", at positions 524 to 798 of the family's 1533-position model. The record is from RNAcentral.
UACGUAGGUGGCGAGCGUUAUCCGGAUUUACUGGGUGUAAAGGGCGUGUAGGCGGCUCUGCAAGUCAGAUGUGAAAUUUCCGGGCUUAACCCGGACGGGUCAUCUGAAACUGCAGGACUUGAGUACUGGAGAGGAUAGCGGAAUUCCUAGUGUAGCGGUAAAAUGCGUAGAUAUUAGGAGGAACACCGGUGGCGAAGGCGGCUAUCUGGACAGUAACUGACGCUGAGGCGCGAAAGCGUGGGGAACAAACAGGAUUAGAUACCCUGGUAGUCCCU